CAAAAAAUAGUUUUAAAAAAAAUUUUAAUUUUGGGGAUUAAAGAUGUAAAUAAUUUAUUUUUUUGA
Molecule: transfer RNA, 66 nt
Filed under: Parapolybia flava
Lineage: Eukaryota; Metazoa; Arthropoda; Insecta; Hymenoptera; Vespidae
Description: tRNA-Pro
Source: RNAcentral